UGUUUUUCCCCUUGUCAUGAUGGCAGGGGAGGCGUGGCCGGCGUCCCUGCUCACAGCAUUAAAAUAUCAGCUGAGAAAUCCGCUGAGACAGCAUUAAAAUAUCAACUGGAAAAUCAGAUGAGGUCAUGCAUUCCUAGCAUGCCAGGCAUUCCAGACAUUCCACACAUUCCGAUGAGG
Molecule: long non-coding RNA, 177 nt
Organism: Syngnathus acus (greater pipefish)
Lineage: Eukaryota; Metazoa; Chordata; Actinopteri; Syngnathiformes; Syngnathidae
Exons: 3
Source: RefSeq, a predicted model, not a curated record